UACGUAGGUGGCAAGCGUUGUCCGGAAUUACUGGGUGUAAAGGGCGUGUAGGCGGGUAAUCAAGUCAGAUGUGAAAUACCGAGGCUCAACCUCGGGGCUGCAUUUGAAACUGAAUAUCUUGAGUGCAGGAGAGGAAAGCGGAAUUCCUAGUGUAGCGGUGAAAUGCGUAGAUAUUAGGAGGAACACCAGUGGCGAAGGCGGCUUUCUGGACUGUAACUGACGCUGAGGCGCGAAAGCGUGGGGAGCAAACAGGAUUAGAUACCCUGGUAGUCCACGCUGUAAACGAUGGAUACUAGGUGUAGGGGGUAUCGACUCCCCCUGUGCCGCAGUUAACACAAUAAGUAUCCCACCUGGGGAGUACGGCCGCAAGGUUGAA
Molecule: ribosomal RNA, 376 nt
Filed under: uncultured bacterium
Lineage: Bacteria
Description: bacterial SSU rRNA
Rfam family: Bacterial small subunit ribosomal RNA
Source: RNAcentral